Molecule: transfer RNA, 69 nt
Filed under: Plagusia squamosa
Lineage: Eukaryota; Metazoa; Arthropoda; Malacostraca; Decapoda; Plagusiidae
Description: tRNA-Pro
Source: RNAcentral
UCAGAGAAUAGUUUAUAAAAAUAUUAGUUUUGGGAAUUAAAGACAAAGAAGUUGUUCUUUUUCUCUGAA